GGGAAAGUUGCAAAGAACUUUGAAGAGAGAGUUCAAGAGUACGUGAAACUGCUCAGAGGCAAACGGGUGGGCCCUCGAAAUCCUCUUGCGGAGGGAUUCAGUCGGGAGCGGAAGGGGCGCAGCGAAGACCGGACCCGUAGAACGGAAGGUCCCGCUGCGCGGUCCCGACCGUGCCCGACGCACUUCCCGCCGCACUUCGGACGCCGCAACCGAUCGGGUAGCUGCGAGAGUCGGCCUUGAGGCGGUCCCAGGCUGGAGACCGGAGGAGCGGACUUCGGUUCGUUCUCCCGGUUGUUCGCGGGGCCGUGCGUGGCGCGACACCCGAUCGAGGUACGAGUUCCCCGUGCGGGGAACGCGCCGUCUCCUUCGCCUUCGUGACGCGGAGCCCGUGCCAGUGAGCGCCGGCGCCGAUCGGAACCACACGUGAGCGGUGGCCGGUCCGCCGGAGAGCCGUCGUUGGGCACGCGGCGUAUUCCGCCGAGGGUCGUCGCAGUCGGUUGGCGGCGAGUAGGUCGGUCACCCACCCGACCCGUCUUGAAACACGGACCAAGGAGUCUAACAUGUGCGCGAGUCGCAGAGUCUUGAACAGGCUCUCGGGCGCAAUGAAAGUGAAGGUCUCCCCCCGAUUCCGGGGGGAACCGAGUUGGGACUCCCGUCGCUGCGGCGUGCGGGAAGCACCAACGGCCCGUCCCGACCGAUCCGUCGGCGGGGCGGAGUCAGAGCGUACACGUUGGGACCCGAAAGAUGGUGAACUAUGCCUGGGCAGAACGAAGCCAGAGGAAACUCUGGUGGAGGUUCGUAGCGGUUCUGACGUGCAAAUCGAUCGUCAGACCC
Molecule: ribosomal RNA, 834 nt
Filed under: Ixchela santibanezi
Lineage: Eukaryota; Metazoa; Arthropoda; Arachnida; Araneae; Pholcidae
Description: partial 28S ribosomal RNA
Rfam family: Eukaryotic large subunit ribosomal RNA
Source: RNAcentral